AGUGAACGCUGGCGGUAGGCCUAACACAUGCAAGUCGAACGGCAGCACAGUAAGAGCUUGCUCUUGCGGGUGGCGAGUGGCGGACGGGUGAGGAAUACAUCGGAAUCUACUUUUUCGUGGGGGAUAACGUAGGGAAACUUACGCUAAUACCGCAUACGACCUACGGGUGAAAGCAGGGGAUCUUCGGACCUUGCGCGAUUGAAUGAGCCGAUGUCGGAUUAGCUAGUUGGCGGGGUAAAGGACCACCAAGGCGACGAUCCGUAGCUGGUCUGAGAGGAUGAUCCGCCACCCUGGAACUGAGACACGGUCCAGACUCCUACGGGAGGCAGCAGUGGGGAAUAUUGGACAAUGGGCGCAAGCCUGAUCCAGCCAUACCGCGUGGGUGAAGAAGGCCUUCGGGUUGUAAAGCCCUUUUGUUGGGAAAGAAAAGCAGCAGGUUAAUACCCCGCUGUUCUGACGGUACCCAAAGAAUAAGCACCGGCUAACUUCGUG
Molecule: ribosomal RNA, 492 nt
Filed under: uncultured bacterium
Lineage: Bacteria
Description: partial 16S ribosomal RNA
Rfam family: Bacterial small subunit ribosomal RNA
Source: RNAcentral